GAUGAUGUGGUAAAUGCAGCACUUUAUUUUGCUAGUGAUGAUUCGAGGUAUGUGAGUGGCCAUAAUUUGCUCAUAGAUGGAGGAUUCAGCAUUGUUAAUCCAUCCUUUCACAUGUUUCAGUAUUCAGAUUCUUGAUUUUGUUUACUACCAUGAAGCAAUAAUAAUUAUGAAGAAGUUAGAAUAAGGGAUCAACUUGGCUUUGAUUGUAAUUUUAUAUUGUUGCUACAAAUGUUUUGGAUUCUUCUGUAUCUUAUGCUUGGGUUUGUACCUAUGGGUGUGGUUAUCAUGCAUAAGCCUAACUUAUGCACCAUGCAUAAGCCUGCAUUAAUCCAACCCAUUAUGCACCUAGCCCAAUAGAAUUGCUUCCUACAUCCCAAAAGAAUUGCUUCCUACACCAUGCAAGCAAACAAGACAAAACAACACACAUCACCGUCUUCCAACAAACGGUAACAAACACGACCAAACUUCCACCUUCGCAAAUCACGCCAGAAGCAAACUUCCACCACCGGAAACCGUUCCACCACUGGAAACCGCAUUCACCAUAACCGCAUUCACGUCGGAAACAACAUUCACCACCGGAAGCAAAACACGUCGGAACGGUAACAAUCACGUCGCAAACUUCCACCACUGCAAAUCACGUAGGAAACAAACUUCCAU
This 657-nucleotide long non-coding RNA is filed under the name Medicago truncatula (barrel medic). Its description in RNAcentral is "long non-coding RNA (MTRU_LNC005636)". Lineage: Eukaryota; Viridiplantae; Streptophyta; Magnoliopsida; Fabales; Fabaceae. The record is from RNAcentral.